Molecule: long non-coding RNA, 216 nt
Filed under: Capsicum annuum
Lineage: Eukaryota; Viridiplantae; Streptophyta; Magnoliopsida; Solanales; Solanaceae
Description: long non-coding RNA (CANN_LNC002013)
Source: RNAcentral
UUUACCCUCUCGGUAACCUUGAACUCGUCCAAUGAGUAUGGAAUAAGUAAAGGCUCUCGAAACAACCCCAAGUAGUUGACCAUGGACGGAAGGAUGUAGUUUUUAUAGUACCUAUCAUUCAACACAAUAAGGCAGCCCGGUAUCCCACAAAUGGUCACCUUUUCAAAGUGUAUACUCCUUCUCGGAUCAACAUUAUAAUGCACACAAGUACCCCUC